Molecule: ribosomal RNA, 624 nt
Filed under: Triticum aestivum (bread wheat)
Lineage: Eukaryota; Viridiplantae; Streptophyta; Magnoliopsida; Poales; Poaceae
Description: partial small subunit ribosomal RNA
Source: RNAcentral
AUGAGGAAGUGGGGGGAGGAAGUGGCGGGGGAGUUGGAGAGCCGCCUGAAGAAAGCGCGCCAGAGUCUAGAAAGAUGCAUGAGGGCUCCGGUAUCUGAGGAGAAAAUAAGAGAGGAGGCGAGGCUGAGAUGUAUGAUGGAGGACCUUGAAGAGAAGGAAAACACCAAAGCCAAACAAUUAUCACAUGUAUCUUGGCUAAGAGAUGGGAACAAGUGCACGCGCUAUUUCAUGGCAGUGGCGUCGGCGAGGAAGAAAGCAAAUAGAAUCAAGAUGUUGAGGAAGGAAGAUGGGACGGAGGUGAAGGAAGGAGAAAGGCUUAAUAACUAUGUGUGUUCAUUUUUUCAGGAUCUUUUCACUUCCGCCGGAGGAAGCCACUUGGUCAAGCUUCUCAACAAAGUGCAACCGCGCGUAACAGAUGCUAUGAGGGACAUCCUUGAAGCGGAAGUGUCCAGAGAGGAGGUCAAAGCAGCGCUUGACCACAUAGGUGAUCUCAAAGCCCCGGGGCCAGAUGGGAUGCCCUCAAUUGUGUACAAGAAACACUGGCACUUUAUGGGGAAUAAGGUGGUGGAUGAAGUGAUCUCGGUCCUCAAGGGGGGGCCAAAUGCCAGCUCAUUCCCAAAGUGA